GCCCCCAUCGUCUAGAGGCCUAGGACACCACCCUUUCAAGGUGGAGAUCGCGGGUUCGAAUCCCGCUGGGGGCA
RNAcentral lists this transfer RNA (74 nucleotides) under Thermorudis peleae. Its description in RNAcentral is "tRNA-Glu". It matches the Rfam family "tRNA". Rfam says of the family: Transfer RNA (tRNA) molecules are approximately 80 nucleotides in length. Their secondary structure includes four short double-helical elements and three loops (D, anti-codon, and T loops). The record is from RNAcentral. Lineage: Bacteria; Pseudomonadati; Thermomicrobiota; Thermomicrobia. RNAcentral also lists the same sequence under 10 other names.